This 16-nucleotide ribosomal RNA is filed under the name Botrytis squamosa. RNAcentral's name for it is "Botryotinia squamosa partial 28S ribosomal RNA". Lineage: Eukaryota; Fungi; Ascomycota; Leotiomycetes; Helotiales; Sclerotiniaceae. The record is from RNAcentral.
UCUUCAUCUUAUCAAU